CACCCCUUUAAAUGGGGGAGGAUUUAGGAUCCUGUAUCUAGUUUGCGUCGCGCCAGGCUAACGACCGUCGGAAUGAAAAUGCCGUCUUCUUUACGUAACAUCGCGCUGAUUUCAAUUGUACCGUUUUUUCUUGCAUCGUAUUUUGGAGAGGUGUCAGCUGAAGGGGAUGGACGAGGGUUUGGUGACCACAUUCACUGGCGGAGCCUUGAGGAUGGGAAGAAGGAGGCUGAAGCAAGUGGACUGCCUCUGAUGGUGAUUAUUCACAAGACUUGGUGUGGUGCAUGUAAAGCACUGAAGCCCAAGUUUGCUGAAUCGAAAGAGAUCUCGGAGUUGGCCCACAACUUUAUCCUGGUUAACUUGGAGGAUGAAGAGGAGCCAAAAGAUGAGAGCUUCAGUCCAGAUGGCGGUUACAUUCCUAGAAUACUUUUUCUUGAUCCCACUGGUAAUGUCCACUCUGAAAUCACAAACAAGAAUGGGAAUCCCAACUACAAGUACUUUUACAGCAAUGCAGAUCAAGUUGUGACUAGCAUGAAGGAAGCUCAAGAGAAGCUGACUGGUAAUGCCUUCAGGACGGCUCACAUUGGAGAUGAACUGUAAGAAGGUUAACAUGGAAAGAUCUCAGCCAAUACACUAAUUCAUUCCACUGGCCACACUAGAUUCAUCUCCAACCUCAACUUCUGUCAUUUCAUUUGAACUACUGUGGCACAAGAUUAGCUUCAAAAGUGAAGGAAUUCAGAAUGCAUCUACAAUGUACUUUUCAAGCUUACAAGUUAUAUUCUUCAGGUUGAAAACCUAAUAACAUGGUAUAGACCCUGAACUGCGUCCACAAGGCACAUUAAGAAACGCCCCAAACACACCAAUAAAGCAAUUCCAUGUGCUUCCAAGCCUUAUCUUGCAAGCUGCAGUGCAACAGAUCUAGUUAGCCAUUUUGGAGGCCUUAUAAUACACAAACUUUACCUGCUUCGAAACCAAGCAUUGGGUUAGGUUUUUAUGAGCUCAGCAGUCCUGCUAUGUUAAGAUUCAAAAUGUUAACUAUUUCUUAACUUGUAUUUAGUCCUCAAUAUAUGGAGUUGCUUUUUGGUUUUUAAAGACACAUUUUUACUAUAGACCUGUGAAUGAAAACCUUUUAAUGUAAACUGGAAUUUCUUGUUUUUCAUAAUUUGUUUCUUCUUUUUGGAUUGAGGGAAUUGUCGUUGCCAUACUGUAUUUUUUACCAAUAUUUAAAACAAGACAAAUAAAGUUGAUACAAAAUAUUGUAUGGUUAUUUCAGUGUUAGCUGAAAGCUAACAACACUGUAGACAUGCCUACAGUUGUAUCGGUCACUGGGUCCCCACAGUCAUGAAAACCAUUUUUUAUUUACUUUUUCUAGACCUGAAAAAUAAUGUCAAUUUUAUAUAGUUAUGCUCCGCACUAAUAUAUUUUAUUGCUUGAAAUUGCUUUUUGCGAAGACAAUCUAAAAAUAAAGUACAUUUAUUUGAAAGUCAUGAAAAUUAUUUGGUGUAAAGGUGUGGGGACCCUGUAGU
This is an RNA transcript of Xyrauchen texanus (razorback sucker), 1523 nucleotides long. It is a transcript of the gene named thioredoxin domain-containing protein 12-like, with no coding region annotated. The record is from RefSeq and is a predicted model, not a curated record. NCBI's taxonomy places the organism in Eukaryota, Metazoa, Chordata, Actinopteri, Cypriniformes, Catostomidae. The transcript has 8 exons.